Molecule: ribosomal RNA, 366 nt
Filed under: uncultured bacterium
Lineage: Bacteria
Description: partial 16S ribosomal RNA
Rfam family: Bacterial small subunit ribosomal RNA
Source: RNAcentral
CCUACGGGGGGCAGCAGUGAGGAAUAUUGGUCAAUGGGCGCGAGCCUGAACCAGCCAAGUAGCGUGAAGGAUGACUGCCCUACGGGGUGUAAACUUCUGGUAUAAAGGAAUAAAGUGAGGCACGUGUGCCUUUUUGUAUGUACUUUAUGAAUAAGGAUCGGCUAACUCCGUGCCAGCAGCCGCGGUAAUACGGAGGAUCCGAGCGUUAUCCGGAUUUAUUGGGGUUAAAGGGAGCGUAGAUGGGUUGUUAAGUCAGUUGUGACAGUUUGCGGCUCUACCGUAAAAUUGCAAUUGAUACUGGCAGUCUUGAGUACAGUUGAGGUAGGCGGAAUUCGUGGUGUCGCGGUGAAAUGCUUCGCUAUCACG